AAAUAUAAUUGUUGUUAUACCUUCCGCUUGGAAGAAAGAUUCACAUCAAGUUGACUGGUCAAGUAAAUGGGACACUGACUAACCAUACAAUUAGACUGUUUUGAUGAGGAACUUAAAGAUUACGAGUCCCGUCCGUUUGACUCAGAGUUUGGUACCAUAGGUUGGUACGAUCUUCGUUGGAGAAGGAAAAGGGAUGUUCCAGAUACAGAAAAUAGUCAAACCAUUUACUACAAAGUCCAUUUCUGGGUGGAGUUAGUGGAACCGAAAAAGAUGUCUCCCUCACAGCGUUUGUGACAAAAGAAUUGCAUCGUUCCUUGGCGGCCUUUCAACAGAAGAAUAUUCAGAGAUUUCCCGAGUGAUUGUGAUGUUGGUUCCUGGAAAGCCUCCAUUGUUGGAGGACGAGAAGCCGUAUCCAAUUGAAGCAGCACAGGCUUCUGCGAUGACUGUGGAAACCACUGCUUAUGCCUUGCUUCAAGCAUUGUCAAGGAAUGAUAUUGACUAUGCAACACCGAUUGCGAGGUGGCCAACGAUGCAACAGAACUAUGGUGGUGUAUUUCACUCGACGCAGACAACAUCAGGUGAAGAUGUGCGUGAUUUCAGCAAGGUGCUGAAAAAUAAGUUCAGAUCAAAGAAACACUUUGCCAAACAUCCUGGCUUGAGUUAUUUACUAGUACAAACAGUUCUAGAAGGCGAGAACCUU
Long non-coding RNA from Stegostoma tigrinum, 700 nucleotides. RefSeq lists it as uncharacterized. The transcript has 5 exons. NCBI's taxonomy places the organism in Eukaryota, Metazoa, Chordata, Chondrichthyes, Orectolobiformes, Stegostomatidae. The record is from RefSeq and is a predicted model, not a curated record.